GAUGAACGCUGGCGGCGUGCUUAACACAUGCAAGUCGAACGAUGAAGCCCAGCUUGCUGGGUGGAUUAGUGGCGAACGGGUGAGUAACACGUGAGUAACCUGCCCUUAACUCUGGGAUAAGCCUGGGAAACUGGGUCUAAUACCGGAUAGGAGCGUCCACCGCAUGUUGGGUGUUGGAAAGAUUUAUCGGUUUUGGAUGGACUCGCGGCCUAUCAGCUUGUUGGUGAGGUAAUGGCUCACCAAGGCGACGACGGGUAGCCGGCCUGAGAGGGUGACCGGCCACACUGGGACUGAGACACGGCCAAGACUCCUACGGGAGGCAGCAGUGGGGAAUAUUGCACAAGGGGCGCAAGCCUGAGGCAGCGACGCCGCGUGAGGGAGGACGGCCUUCGGGUUGUAAACCUCUUUCAGUAGGGAAGAAGCGAAAGGGACGGUACCUGCAGAAGAAGCACCGGCUAACUACGU
Molecule: ribosomal RNA, 465 nt
Filed under: uncultured bacterium
Lineage: Bacteria
Description: partial 16S ribosomal RNA
Rfam family: Bacterial small subunit ribosomal RNA
Source: RNAcentral